RNAcentral lists this ribosomal RNA (497 nucleotides) under uncultured bacterium. Its description in RNAcentral is "partial 16S ribosomal RNA". It matches the Rfam family "Bacterial small subunit ribosomal RNA", at positions 28 to 507 of the family's 1533-position model. The record is from RNAcentral.
GAUGAACGCUGGCGGCGUGCCUAAUACAUGCAAGUCGAGCGAACAGACGAGGAGCUUGCUCCUCUGACGUUAGCGGCGGACGGGUGAGUAACACGUGGAUAACCUACCUAUAAGACUGAGAUAACUUCGGGAAACCGGAGCUAAUACCGGAUAACAUGUUGAACCGCAUGGUUCAACAGUGAAAGACGGUCUUGCUGUCACUUAUAGAUGGAUCCGCGCCGCAUUAGCUAGUUGGUAAGGUAACGGAUUACCAAGGCAACGAUGCGUAGCCGACCUGAGAGGGUGAUCGGCCACACUGGAACUGAGACACGGUCCAGACUCCUACGGGAGGCAGCAGUAGGGAAUCUUCCGCAAUGGGCGAAAGCCUGACGGAGCAACGCCGCGUGAGUGAAGAAGGUCUUCGGAUCGUAAAACUCUGUUAUUAGGGAAGAACAAAUGUGUAAGUAACUAUGCACGUCUUGACGGUACCUAAUCAGAAAGCCACGGCUAACUACGUG